RNAcentral lists this unclassified non-coding RNA (391 nucleotides) under soil metagenome. Its description in RNAcentral is "partial contains 5.8S ribosomal RNA, internal transcribed spacer 2, and large subunit ribosomal RNA". The stretch from base 1 to 122 matches the Rfam family "5.8S ribosomal RNA", at positions 35 to 154 of the family's 154-position model. The record is from RNAcentral.
GAUGAAGAACGCAGCGAAAUGCGAUACUUGGUGUGAAUUGCAGAAUCCCGUGAACCAUCGAGUCUUUGAACGCAAGUUGCGCCCGAAGCCAUUAGGCCGAGGGCACGCCUGCCUGGGCGUCACACGUCGUUGCCCCCCCAUCUACUCCUUCGGGAUUGCGGGGGGCGGAUGAUGGCCUCCCGUGCGCCUCGCCGCGCGGUUGGCAUAAAUGCCAAGUCCUCGGCGACGCACGCCACGACAAUCGGUGGUUGCGAAACCUCGGUUGCCCGUCGUGUGCGGUCGUCGCGCAUCGAGGGCACGAAAAAAUUGCCGGGUUCCGGCUCGGCUUUCAACGCGACCCCAGGUCAGGCGGGGUUACCCGCUGAAUUUAAGCAUAUCAAUAAGCGGAGGA